Molecule: ribosomal RNA, 512 nt
Filed under: Arsipoda geographica
Lineage: Eukaryota; Metazoa; Arthropoda; Insecta; Coleoptera; Chrysomelidae
Description: partial 12S ribosomal RNA
Source: RNAcentral
ACAUAUUUUAGAGCUAAAAUCAUUUUUAUAAAAUAAUAAAAAUUACUUUCAAAUCCAAAUUCAACCUAUUAUAAAAAUAAGAAUCCCAAAAUAAAUUAAAUGUAACCCAUUUCUUCUUUAUUAUAAACUACACCUUGAUCUGAAUUAUUUUUUUAACAAAAUCUUAAAUAUUAAAUUUCUAUAAAAAUAUUUAUAUAACAACGAUAUGUAAACUAAUAAAAAAAGUAAAUUUAAUCGUGGAUUAUCAUUUAUGAAACAGGUUCCUCUGAAAAGAUAAAAUACCGCCAGAAUUUUUAAUUUUAAAGAUUAUAUCUAAUACUAAUUUAAUUUUAAUUAUUACUUUUCCAAUAAUAGGGUAUCUAAUCCUAGUCUAUAAAUAAAUUUUCUCAACUUCAUUAACUUAUACAAAAUUAUUAAAAAAUUAAAAUUUCACCUAAUAAUUUUUUAACAUAACUUUAUACUUAAAUAAAUUGUUAUUAAUAAAAUUAAAUAAUAUUAUUUGGAUAACCGCA